AAUAAUCAAAAUAAACUAAUUUUAGGUAGUAAGAGUUUGCCACUAUAAAUGAUCUACUGCAUAGUUUUUGCUUCAUAUUCAGUCAAGUCCAAAUCUUGGAUUUUGAUAAAACUCGCUUUGGGCCUCAAUAGAAAAGUGUACACAUCUAGAAGAACUACAGUGUUCCCAAGUCCAAGCGUGCAGAUGUAGCUCCAACUCAAAUAGGUGACAAAAGAU
Molecule: unclassified non-coding RNA, 216 nt
Filed under: Hevea brasiliensis (rubber tree)
Lineage: Eukaryota; Viridiplantae; Streptophyta; Magnoliopsida; Malpighiales; Euphorbiaceae
Source: RNAcentral